This 100-nucleotide non-coding RNA is filed under the name Clostridium acidisoli. RNAcentral's name for it is "TPP sequence". It matches the Rfam family "TPP riboswitch aptamer (THI element)". From Rfam's summary of the family: Vitamin B(1) in its active form thiamin pyrophosphate (TPP) is an essential coenzyme that is synthesised by coupling of pyrimidine and thiazole moieties in bacteria. Lineage: Bacteria; Bacillati; Bacillota; Clostridia; Eubacteriales; Clostridiaceae. The record is from RNAcentral. RNAcentral also lists the same sequence under 1 other name.
UAAUUUAGCUAGGGGUGCCUUUAGGCUGAGAGAUGUUUGUGCAUUAACCCUUUAACCUGAUCUAGAUAAUUCUAGCGUAGGGAAGCAGUUUACUUUAACU